This is a non-coding RNA of Flavobacterium frigoris PS1, 397 nucleotides long. NCBI's taxonomy places the organism in Bacteria, Pseudomonadati, Bacteroidota, Flavobacteriia, Flavobacteriales, Flavobacteriaceae. The record is from Rfam.
GGGGUCGACUGGUUUUGACAGCAAGUCGAAUUGAAAAGUAAGCACGUGGAGAACUGGGACAAUUCUCGUUAAUAAAAGGUUCCAAAACACAUACACGGCGAAGGAAACUACGCUCUUGCUGCAUAAUCUGAAUCAUAGUAAGAUUAGCCUAGUUCCUAUUAGAUAGGAAAGCAGGAUUUACCUCGAAAGCUUUGGUUUAUAGCGGUCGAUAAAGGUGAAUCGUAAAUUUAAACCUAGAUUUCCAUAAGCUUCGGGUGGACUUCGAAAUAAAGAAGAUAAGUAUUGAGUGGCUGUUUCUGGCCUGGCUCACUAUCGAAAAUCUAAUCAGGAAAUAAACGUGUAGAAAGCCUUUUAGUUGCUUGUUUGGACCCGAGUUCGAUUCUCGGCGACUCCACAA